Long non-coding RNA from Vombatus ursinus (common wombat), 453 nucleotides. RefSeq lists it as uncharacterized. The record is from RefSeq and is a predicted model, not a curated record. NCBI's taxonomy places the organism in Eukaryota, Metazoa, Chordata, Mammalia, Diprotodontia, Vombatidae. The transcript is spliced from 3 exons.
UAAGGGUCAGAAGGGGAACAACCAUCAGAGAAGAUUUUUCUGAGGCAUGUUAUUUCUAAGGAGACCGAGGACAUCAAGGACUACAGUUCAGAGUUGUGAGUUUCCUCAAGCACAUGGUUUUCCACAUUCAUGUGUAUCCCCACUGGGUUUCUUUGUGUGAAUCUUGAAAUUGUUGGGAGUUCAGGAGGAAGAUAGAAAGCUUGUAGAGAAUUCUCCUCAAAUCUUCCACUCAGCUUACUUUUAUCUGCCCACAUCAGGUAGAAAUGAGUGAAAGUUGUUCAAAACUCUCAAUUGAAUUUCUGUGCGGCAGAAAUGAAAACGAUUGUCGAAAAAUGGUGGGUAGCAGGAUAAACAUUGCCAAAUGUUGUUUUGCCCCUGGGAAGCUUGAUUUCCGCUAUUGAGACCAAAAGACAAAAAUGUAGAGCCACAUAACACAAGCUUUGAACACGCAGC